GUCACCCGCUCCCCAUUCACAAUAACUUUACGGGAGCCGGGCAGCGCACCUCCCCGGCCGCUGGGGCGCCGUACGCCUGGCGACUAGCACGGAUGAAAACAUGGAGGCGUGCUGUGUUCCAGUUUCACUUCAUCACCCUCUGGAUUUACAGCUCUGCCCAGUUCUGUCGUCAUUGCAGGCAAGAUCCUCUUGUAUGAUAGGAACCAGUAACAGUCACCAGACCAGAAUUUGAACACACACAUCCUUAAGGUGCAUCCCAAAGGUUGCCCCCUGACCCAGGAAGCCUUGGAACAUGACUCUCCUCUCCCCAGCCCAGGACCCCUACUCAGAGAUUGGCCAGUUCCUCCAUCAUUCUCUCCUCUUGUGUCAGCUUUGCCCUGAGAUCACCUUCUUGCCAUCCAUUUCCCUCACACCCUGAGCCCUGUGAACUUGAACUGCAAUAAGCUUGAGCCACAGAUGAAGAGUCUAAAUGUCCUGACCAACAAAAUCUCAUAAAUUGUGGGCUCAGCUCCUUGGGAAGUGGUAUGCAUGACUUCCUUCACCAUAUUUAAGAUCUGAUGGAAUUAAUCGCUGAGGAACAUAUUGAAGGAGACAGAAACAGAGUGGAACAGAGACCCAAGGAGCUGUUUGCUUCCCCAGGUUCCAGGAUUUUUGCAACAAAUCAUGUAACCUUGUGCAACAAGUACAAAAAAGGAAAAGAAAAGACGGAGAAGAACAUUUCCCUUUGUGUCCUAUUGUGGGGCUACUUCAUUUGUAGAGAUGUAAUUGUAGCCUGAAGCGUGCACUUGGGAAUCUGUGUUUCUGGGAAGAUUGGAGCUCCUCCCAUAAAGAGCUGGAGGAGACUGUGACGAGAAACAAUCUUUCCAACUAGCGACUGCGACUGAAUGAAUUGAAGGAGAUGCCUUUUUGCUUUAAUUUUUCGCCACCCCCAACUCUGCAUUUAAGAAAAAAAAAAAAACGCUUUUUUUUCUUUGAGACUAUACCAGACUAGUUAAUAGAACAGGAUAAUUCUGGAUACAAGGCUCUGCAAAAUAAGAGAGUAUAAUGAGAGGCAUUUGAAUGGAUGUCAUUGUCUUUCACAAAGCAUGCUUUUGUCUCAUUGUUUUCACCUAAGACUUCUUGCAAAACAACGGGCUUUGAAAGUGCAAGGUAGGCUGCUUCACUCUUGAAGAGCUGACAGACAUCCCACCUUUUCCAGGAGGAUUGUGACUGGAGCUUCAAUCAUUUUUCUCCCCCGUUUCUGUGCAGUAGGUGUGACAAUUAGAGAGAACUGUGAGCUGACUAUCCUAUACCCAGUUCCAAUCCUGUCAGAAGGAACUAAAAAUACCCUGUGGUCAAACUACAGUGAGUCCUGCUUCUAACGAGCUUGGGCUGAGGGGAGCCAGGGGGCGGUCGUGUCACCCACAGAAACAACUGCCAGAUGACACAAAACCAUCGCAUGAAAUUUCCUUCAUCUGAAAGCCUGCGACCUUUUUUAUGAUGCUGCACUUUGGUGAAACAAACAAACAAAAAAGUCCAUUUCUAAAUAUAGCCAGCUUUUGUAGGCUGUAGUUAGUCACGUUCCCACUUUGUAAAAAAUAUCAGAACGCAUUUUGGCAGAAAUUUUCAUCAUGAUACGUUUUUUUUUUUCCUUUCAGUUCCCCAUAUUUAAAACUCUGGUGACACAAACAUUAAGGUUUAUAACCAGAAAACCUCUUGUGUGUGGGGAAUUCUUCUGGAGUCAUGUGGUUCUUUACUUGACAAAAAUUUAUUGAGGACCUGAAUCAGGCGUUGUUCCAAGCCUCUGCUUUGAAUCAUUUUUCACUAUAGUCUUUUGUUCUUGGAGCUCUCUAGGAAAUCCCCACAUAGUUGGAAAAAAGGUGACUGCUCUCUCACCUGUAUAUGUGCCAUAGCAGAGAGCAUUGGAAACAAAACGGAGAUCAUCAAACACCUGCCUUGUGGGGCUCUGGUGGAUUUCAAAUGCAUUAAUACCCAUACAACAUCUAAUCGGAGUCUGUCAAGAGGAAAGUGUCAUCAUGGACAGCAUUUGGGAAAUAAACCUAGAGGACAAUUUGCAAUUCCAGGAUGGUUUCCUUGAGUGAAAUCAAGAUCCUUGGGCUGCACUAUCUUAUCUCCAAAUUGACCCUGAGACCUAAGGAUUUCCAUCGAGAGGCACAAAAGAGAAGCAACAAUUGCACUUGAUCAAACCAGAUUUGAUAAAAGUAAGAAGCGUGUAUCCAGACGACUACCUAGGAAUCCCUUCACAUAUGCUGGCUGUGUGGCUGAGCUACCUGCCUGAUCAUCUGGACUCCUUCGGUCUUCCUUUGCUUGUCAGGAUCAAAGAGGAUCAGUGUCAAGCCUCCCUGGCCUUCGGGAUGAGCCCAUCUAGGUGAACUUCUGCUGAGACAGGCCUGCAGGAUCUUCAUGCUGGUCCCAGGUUGCUGUGUGAGGGCGGCACCAACCCAGACCCUCCAUCUUGGCAUCUUGCUCUUACUCACCAAAGAAUUCUGCAAUAGAACACGGGGCCCUAUCUGCGUGCCCCCUCUUCUGUGGCAGAGGUAAAUAUUCCAUUGCUGCCGAAGUUUCUAUUCAAGAUGGCUUGAAGAUGCCCACCAACCAGUUUGUCUACCUGUGCACAUGCCAAGAUCAUGAGGGCUCUUACCCCUGGCUGGGCUACAUGGAGGCAGAGGUACCAAGAGAGCCAGGACUCUUUUUCCAGGAGUGGUCCAAUUCCAGAUACUAGAUCUCCUUUAGAUGCCAGCUUCUGACCUGCUUCCUCCUGGCCUAGGCCUUCCUUUAUUCAUGGCUGACAUUACUUGCUUUGGAAGCAAACAUCAAAAGAACUGGGGCGUCCGGGCGGCUCAGUCAGUUGAACGUCUGACUCUUGGUUUCAGCUCAGGUCAUGAUUGCACGGUUCCUGGGAUCGAUCCCCGCAUUGAGCU
Long non-coding RNA from Herpailurus yagouaroundi (jaguarundi), 2921 nucleotides. RefSeq lists it as uncharacterized. The record is from RefSeq and is a predicted model, not a curated record. Lineage: Eukaryota; Metazoa; Chordata; Mammalia; Carnivora; Felidae. The transcript has 6 exons.